This 292-nucleotide unclassified non-coding RNA is filed under the name uncultured Verrucomicrobiae bacterium. RNAcentral's name for it is "contains 16S-23S intergenic spacer region". The record is from RNAcentral. Lineage: Bacteria; Pseudomonadati; Verrucomicrobiota; Verrucomicrobiia.
GGACUACUGGGGUUUCUAAUCCCUUUUGCUCCCCACGCUUUCGAGCCUGAGCGUCAGAUCUUGUCCAGUAAGCUGCCUUCGCCGUUGGUGUUCCUCUUGAUAUCUACGCAUUUCACUGCUCCACCAAGAAUUCCGCUUACCCCUCCAAGUCUCUAGACUCGUAGUUUCGAACGCAGCACCGGGGUUAAGCCCCGGUAUUUCACGUCCGACACACGAGUCCGCCUGCGCUCCCUUUACGCCCAGUGAAUCCGAGUAACGCUUGCAGUCUCUGUAUUACCGCGGCUGCUGGCAC